RNAcentral lists this transfer RNA (82 nucleotides) under Massilia yuzhufengensis. RNAcentral's name for it is "tRNA_Leu_CAA". It matches the Rfam family "tRNA". From Rfam's summary of the family: Transfer RNA (tRNA) molecules are approximately 80 nucleotides in length. Their secondary structure includes four short double-helical elements and three loops (D, anti-codon, and T loops). The record is from RNAcentral. RNAcentral also lists the same sequence under 2 other names. Lineage: Bacteria; Pseudomonadati; Pseudomonadota; Betaproteobacteria; Burkholderiales; Oxalobacteraceae.
GCCUCUGUGGCGGAAUUGGUAGACGCACUUGACUCAAAAUCAAGCGCCGUAAGGCGUGCCGGUUCGAUUCCGGCCGGAGGCA